RNAcentral lists this ribosomal RNA (254 nucleotides) under uncultured bacterium. Its description in RNAcentral is "partial 16S ribosomal RNA". It matches the Rfam family "Bacterial small subunit ribosomal RNA", at positions 524 to 776 of the family's 1533-position model. The record is from RNAcentral.
UACAGGGGGGGGCAAGCGUUGUUCGGAAUUACUGGGCGUAAAGGGCCAGUAGGCGGCCAACUAAGUCCGACGUGAAAUCCCCAAGCUUAACUUGGGAACUGCGUCGGAUACUGGAUGGCUUGAAUUCGGGAGAGGGAUGCAGAAUUCCAGGUGUAGCGGUGGAAUGCGCAGAUAUCAGGAGGAACACCGAUGGCGAAGGCAGGUCACUGGGCCGCAACUGACGCUGAGGAGCGAAAGCGUGGGGAGCGAACAGG